RNAcentral lists this long non-coding RNA (577 nucleotides) under Sparus aurata (gilthead seabream). Its description in RNAcentral is "lncRNA (ENSSAUG00010017992.1)". Lineage: Eukaryota; Metazoa; Chordata; Actinopteri; Spariformes; Sparidae. The record is from RNAcentral.
CUGACUUUGUGCUUUGCUCCCAUCUGUAAUGACUCUGAAUUUAUGUUUUUUGUAUCAUGUCUUGUUGUGUCUUUGUUUUGAUUUUCCAUGCCCCUCUGUGUCCUUUAAGUUUCUAUGUUCUCCCCUCUGUCUGUUGUAUUGUUCCCUUCACGUUUUCUCAUGUGCUCCUCCCCCUCAUUACCACACCUGGCCUCCUCCCUCCUCACCUGUUCCUCGUCUGUUCAUCAGCGUCUGUGUUUUUAGUCUGUGUCUUCCCUUCACUCCUUGUCCGAUCAUUGUAUUCUGUCUGUCUCUGUCUGCGUCAGCCUCCGGUCAUGCGCCUGCUCCUGUUCAUGUCAUGUCCUCCCAGUCUCCCCAUGGACUAACCACAAACACAGAUGAAUAUGGAAUACAUUGCAGUCCUGCACCGGCAUACUUUGGUUUUAAGCAUAUGACUGCUCACUUUAAAGCCAGGAAGGCCGCAGAGCCCAUCUCUGUCCUCCUCGCAUCCAAAUUUAAUGUGGCGGCCUGUGAGCUCCUGGGCCCCUUCACCUGGAAAAGGUCUAAUCAUAUUUGGCUACAUCUCUGGAGAGGAUAG